RNAcentral lists this ribosomal RNA (450 nucleotides) under uncultured bacterium. Its description in RNAcentral is "bacterial SSU rRNA". It matches the Rfam family "Bacterial small subunit ribosomal RNA", at positions 329 to 794 of the family's 1533-position model. The record is from RNAcentral.
CGCCAGACUCCUACGGGAGGCAGCAGUGGGGAAUAUUGCACAAUGGGCGAAAGCCUGAUGCAGCAACGCCGCGUGAAGGAAGAAGGCCUUCGGGUCGUAAACUUCUGUCCUUGGGGAAGAAGAACUGACGGUACCCAAGGAGGAAGCCCCGGCUAACUACGUGCCAGCAGCCGCGGUAAUACGUAGGGGGCAAGCGUUAUCCGGAUUUACUGGGUGUAAAGGGGGCGCAGACGGCGAUGCAAGCCAGGAGUGAAAGCCCGGGGCCCAACCCCGGGACUGCUCUUGGAACUGCGUGGCUGGAGUGCAGGAGGGGCAGGCGGAAUUCCUGGUGUAGCGGUGAAAUGCGUAGAUAUCAGGAGGAACACCGGUGGCGAAGGCGGCCUGCUGGACUGCAACUGACGUUGAGGCCCGAAAGCGUGGGGAGCAAACAGGAUUAGAUACCCCAGUAUA